RNAcentral lists this ribosomal RNA (265 nucleotides) under uncultured bacterium. Its description in RNAcentral is "partial 16S ribosomal RNA". It matches the Rfam family "Bacterial small subunit ribosomal RNA", at positions 91 to 354 of the family's 1533-position model. The record is from RNAcentral.
CGGACCGGCGCACGGGUGAGUAACGCGUAUCCAACCUGCCCUUUACUAUGGGACAGCCCGUCGAAAGGCGGAUUAAUACCGUAUGUUGUCAUGUUGAUGCAUAUUUUCAUGACCAAAGGCUUCGGCCGGUAAAGGAUGGGGAUGCGUCUGAUUAGCUUGCCGGCGGGGUAACGGCCCACCGUGGCGACGAUGCGUAGGGGUUCUGAGAGGAAGGCCCCCCACACUGGGACUGAGACACGGCCCAGACUCCUACGGGAGGCAGCAG